GCAGACAUAGCCAAGUGGACCAAAGCAGUGGAUUUUGAAUCCACCAUGCGCAGGUUCAAUUCCCAUCGUUCGCC
Non-coding RNA from Picea glauca (white spruce), 74 nucleotides. The record is from Rfam. Lineage: Eukaryota; Viridiplantae; Streptophyta; Pinopsida; Pinales; Pinaceae.